RNAcentral lists this ribosomal RNA (253 nucleotides) under uncultured bacterium. RNAcentral's name for it is "partial 16S ribosomal RNA". It matches the Rfam family "Bacterial small subunit ribosomal RNA", at positions 524 to 776 of the family's 1533-position model. The record is from RNAcentral.
GACGUAGGGGGCCAGCGUUGCUCGGAAUUACUGGGCGUAAAGGGUUCGUAGGCGGUGCGGCAAGUCAGAAGUGAAAUCUCCAGGCUUAACUUGGAGGCUGCUCCCGAAACUGCCGUGCUAGAGUGCGGGAGAGGCGAGUGGAAUUGCAGGUGUAGCGGUGAAAUGCGUAGAUAUCUGCAGGAACACCCGUGGCGAAGGCGGCUCGCUGGACCGCAACUGACGCUGAGGAACGAAAGCUAGGGGAGCAAACAGG